CCUGAAAGCAAUGACAGAGUGAAAAGAGAAAAAUGAGCGUAAGCUGCAGCUGUCUUCAACCCGGGGGCCGUCUCCUCAGCUGCUUACAAACACUGCUCCCCACACCCACGGCAGAGGUCAGACUUCACCGGGUGAAGAGGAGACCUCCCUCCGCGACUCUCUGAGAACUCGGCCUGCUGUGAUGGCGGGCAGAGAAACACCUGGAUGGCUCACUUCUUUUUAGUGCUGAAGAAUACGCCAUCCUCUGGAGGUUCCACAGUUCAUUUUCCACUCACCGCCUAGGAAGCAUCUGGGUUGCUUGCAAGUGUUGGCAAUUACUUUUCUUGACAGGUUUUCUACCAUCUCCCUCCCUUUCCUUUCUCGCUGCCAUCACCAUUAGUUGAUGUCGCCCUGACUCGCGGUUUGCACUUUUAUCAUUGACCUCCCAACCAACUUCUAGAACCUCCAUCUCUUUUUCAUUCAGUUUGCCAGAUUCAUUUUUCUACACUACAGCUCUGAUUAUGUCCUUACCUCACUCCGACAUUUCUAGUGACACCCAAAUCUUCCCGAGUCUGAAUUUCUCUCACUUGAGACAUUCAAAGUCCCUUACUAUAUAGCUUUGCAUUACCUCUCUCUUCUGUCAUUUAACUCUUUCUGCUUUUUACCCGUCUUGUCCAGUGCGGCUACUUAAAAUCUUCCAAACUUUUCAAGGGGAGGAAUGUUUUUUUAUGUUCUGUUGCAUGUGAGAAUGCUUUGAACGGAGUAAACGGUCCAGAAAAACCUGGAGCGUUAUACUGACUCUGUUCAAGAGGCCAUCUAAGCCAAAUCUGUAUCAUGCACCAGGAUGAAACACUACAGAGAGCCGCACCAGGAUACCUGGAACCCCCAAUGCCUUUUUACAUGCACAGCAACAACGUGAUACUGUUCACUUUCCUGCUUUCUGAGGGCCAACCCCUCAACCCUCCCCAUCGCCACCUCUCCACCCAGCUCCUGGGCUUUCUUCCCAUUCCAGCCAGAGACAGAAAGCUCAAAGGGUAGGAAGGCUGAGAUGAGAAUGGGGAAGAUGAGAAAUGGUGAUGGCACAAUACCACGUGAACUGCAGUGACAAAGUGACGUUUUGUUCUGGCAUUCUCUAUACAUGUUCAAGAACAAAAUUCACCAGA
This is a long non-coding RNA of Neofelis nebulosa (Clouded leopard), 1142 nucleotides long. RefSeq lists it as uncharacterized. The record is from RefSeq and is a predicted model, not a curated record. The transcript is spliced from 2 exons. NCBI's taxonomy places the organism in Eukaryota, Metazoa, Chordata, Mammalia, Carnivora, Felidae.